This 499-nucleotide ribosomal RNA is filed under the name uncultured bacterium. Its description in RNAcentral is "partial 16S ribosomal RNA". It matches the Rfam family "Bacterial small subunit ribosomal RNA", at positions 28 to 507 of the family's 1533-position model. The record is from RNAcentral.
GACGAACGCUGGCGGCGUGCCUAAUACAUGCAAGUCGAGCGAAGUUUUUCUGGUGCUUGCACUAGAAAAACUUAGCGGCGAACGGGUGAGUAACACGUAAAGAACCUGCCUCAUAGACUGGGACAACUAUUGGAAACGAUAGCUAAUACCGGAUAACAGUAUUUCUCGCAUGAGAGAUAUUUAAAAGUUGGUUAUGCUAACACUAUGAGAUGGCUUUGCGGUGCAUUAGCUAGUUGGUGGGGUAAAGGCCCACCAAGGCGACGAUGCAUAGCCGACCUGAGAGGGUGAUCGGCCACACUGGGACUGAGACACGGCCCAGACUCCUACGGGAGGCAGCAGUAGGGAAUCUUCCGCAAUGGGCGAAAGCCUGACGGAGCAACGCCGCGUGAGUGAAGAAGGAUUUCGGUUCGUAAAGCUCUGUUGUUAGGGAAGAAUGGAUAUGUAGUAACUAUACAUGUAAGGGACGGUACCUAACCAGAAAGCCACGGCUAACUACGUG